GAUGAACGCUAGCGGGAGGCCUAACACAUGCGAGCCGAGCGGUAGAGUUUCUUCGGAAACUUGAGAGCGGCGCACGGGUGCGUAACACGUGUGCAACCUACCUUUAUCUGGGGGAUAGCCUUUCGAAAGGAAGAUUAAUACCCCAUAAUAUAAUGAUUGGCAUCAAUUAUUAUUGAAAACUCCGGUGGAUAGAGAUGGGCACGCGCAAGAUUAGAUAGUUGGUGAGGUAACGGCUCACCAAGUCAAUGAUCUUUAGGGGUCCUGAGAGGGAGAUCCCCCACACUGGUACUGAGACACGGACCAGACUCCUACGGGAGGCAGCAGUGAGGAAUAUUGGACAAUGGGUGAGAGCCUGAUCCAGCCAUCCCGCGUGAAGGAUGACGGUCCUAUGGAUUGUAAACUUCUUUUGUACAGGGAUAAACCUACCCUCGUGAGGGUAGCUGAAGGUACUGUACGAAUAAGCACCGGCUAACUCCGUG
Molecule: ribosomal RNA, 479 nt
Filed under: uncultured bacterium
Lineage: Bacteria
Description: partial 16S ribosomal RNA
Rfam family: Bacterial small subunit ribosomal RNA
Source: RNAcentral